GGUCAGGACGAACGCUGGCGGCAUGCCUAACACAUGCAAGUCGAACGGGGGUAGCAAUACCCUAGUGGCGAACGGGUGAGUAACACAUAAGCAAUCUGCCCUUCACAGGGGGAUAACAGCGGGAAACUGCUGCUAAUACCGCAUAAGACCACGGUACCGCAUGGUACAGGGGUAAAAACGAAUCAGUGGUGAAGGAUGAGCUUAUGUCCCAUUAGCUAGUUGGUGAGAUAACAGCCCACCAAGGCGACGAUGGGUAGCCGACCUGAGAGGGUGAUCGGCCACACUGGAACUGAGACACGGUCCAGACUCCUACGGGAGGCAGCAGUGGGGAAUAUUGGGCAAUGGAAGGAAACUCUUACCCAGCAAUGCCGCGUGAGUGAAGAAGGUCUUCGGAUUGUAAAGCUCUUUGAUUGGGGACGAAGAAAGUGACGGUACCCAAAGAACAAGCCCCGGCUAACUACGUGCCAGCCGCCGC
Molecule: ribosomal RNA, 475 nt
Filed under: uncultured bacterium
Lineage: Bacteria
Description: bacterial SSU rRNA
Rfam family: Bacterial small subunit ribosomal RNA
Source: RNAcentral